AGUGAACGCUGGCGGCGUGCCUAAUACAUGCAAGUCGAACGAUGAAGUCCUAGCUUGCUAGGAUGGAUUAGUGGCGCACGGGUGAGUAAUAUAUAGUUAAUCUGCCCUACACAGAGGAACAACAGUUGGAAACGGCUGCUAAUACCUCAUACUCCUAUUUGACAUAAGUUAAAUAGGGAAAGUCUUUUCGGUGUAGGAUGAGACUAUAUCGUAUCAGCUAGUUGGUAAGGUAAUGGCUUACCAAGGCUAUGACGCGUAACUGGUCUGAGAGGAUGAUCAGUCACAUUGGAACUGAGACACGGUCCAAACUCCUACGGGAGGCAGCAGUAAGGAAUAUUGCGCAAUGGGGGAAACCCUGACGCAGCAACGCCGCGUGGAGGAUGACACUUUUCGGAGCGUAAACUCCUUUUAUCAGGAAAGAAUAAUGACGGUACCUGAUGAAUAAGCACCGGCUAACUCCGUGCCAGCAGCCGCGGUAAUACGGGGGGUGCAAGCGUUACUCGGAAUCACUGGGCGUAAAGGACGCGUAGGCAGAUUAUCAAGUCUUUUGUGAAAUCUAGUGGCUUAACCACUAAGCUGCUUAGGAAACUGAUAGUCUAGAGUAGGGGAGAGGUAGAUGGAAUUCUUGGUGUAGGGGUAAAAUCCGUAGAGAUCAAGAAGAAUACCCAUUGCGAAAGCGAUCUGCUGGAACCUAACUGACGCUGAGGCGUGAAAGCGUGGGUAGCAAACAGGAUUAGAUACCCUGGUAGUCCACGCCCUAAACGAUGUAUACUAGUUGUUGCUUUGCUAGUCAAGGCAGUAAUGCAGCUAACGCAUUAAGUAUACCGCCUGGGGAGUACGGUCGCAAGAUUAAAACUCAAAGGAAUAGACGGGGACCCGCACAAGCGGUGGAGCAUGUGGUUUAAUUCGAAGCAACGCGAAGAACCUUACCAAAUCUUGACAUCCUUUGACAACUCUAGAGAUAGAGCUUUCCCCUUCGGGGGACAAAGUGACAGGUGGUGCAUGGUUGUCGUCAGCUCGUGUCGUGAGAUGUUGGGUUAAGUCCCGCAACGAGCGCAACCCUUAAGCUUAGUUGCCAUCAUUAAGUUGGGCACUCUAAGUUGACUGCCGGUGACAAACCGGAGGAAGGUGGGGAUGACGUCAAAUCAUCAUGCCCCUUAUGAUUUGGGCUACACACGUGCUACAAUGGACAAUACAAAGGGCAGCGAAACCGCGAGGUCAAGCAAAUCCCAUAAAGUUGUUCUCAGUUCGGAUUGUAGUCUGCAACUCGACUACAUGAAGCUGGAAUCGCUAGUAAUCGUAGAUCAGCAUGCUACGGUGAAUACGUUCCCGGGUCU
This 1337-nucleotide ribosomal RNA is filed under the name uncultured bacterium. RNAcentral's name for it is "bacterial SSU rRNA". It matches the Rfam family "Bacterial small subunit ribosomal RNA", at positions 28 to 1381 of the family's 1533-position model. The record is from RNAcentral.